RNAcentral lists this ribosomal RNA (614 nucleotides) under uncultured bacterium. RNAcentral describes it as "bacterial SSU rRNA". The stretch from base 1 to 540 matches the Rfam family "Bacterial small subunit ribosomal RNA", at positions 338 to 873 of the family's 1533-position model. The record is from RNAcentral.
CCUACGGGAGGCAGCAGUGGGGAAUAUUGGACAAUGGGCGAAAGCCUGAUCCAGCCAUGCCGCGUGUGUGAAGAAGGUCUUCGGAUUGUAAAGCACUUUAAGUUGGGAGGAAGGGUUGUAGAUUAAUACUCUGCAAUUUUGACGUUACCGACAGAAUAAGCACCGGCUAACUCUGUGCCAGCAGCCGCGGUAAUACAGAGGGUGCAAGCGUUAAUCGGAAUUACUGGGCGUAAAGCGCGCGUAGGUGGUUUGUUAAGUUGGAUGUGAAAUCCCCGGGCUCAACCUGGGAACUGCAUCCAAAACUGGCAAGCUAGAGUAUGGUAGAGGGUGGUGGAAUUUCCUGUGUAGCGGUGAAAUGCGUAGAUAUAGGAAGGAACACCAGUGGCGAAGGCGACCACCUGGACUGAUACUGACACUGAGGUGCGGAAGCGUGGGGAGCAAACAGGAUUAGAUACCCUGGUAGUCCACGCCGUAAACGAUGUCAACUAGCCGUUGGGAGCCUUGAGCUCUUAAGUGGCGCNGCACGACAUAGUAGACGCGNGGAGGACGGCGCGAAGUAAACGUUAAAGUAGAGUAGAGCGNGAGAGNGACGACGACGACGACGAGGGAGGAGG